UUGAAUUUAGUAUAUAUAGUUCUAAGGUACGAUUAAUUGCAGAUUAAUAAGAAUAAAGAAAAUAUAGUUCAAU
RNAcentral lists this transfer RNA (73 nucleotides) under Diversibipalium multilineatum. RNAcentral's name for it is "tRNA-Cys". Lineage: Eukaryota; Metazoa; Platyhelminthes; Tricladida; Geoplanidae. The record is from RNAcentral.